RNAcentral lists this ribosomal RNA (208 nucleotides) under fungal endophyte MS4 IS117. Its description in RNAcentral is "5.8S ribosomal RNA". The stretch from base 1 to 154 matches the Rfam family "5.8S ribosomal RNA". Rfam says of the family: 5.8S ribosomal RNA (5.8S rRNA) is a component of the large subunit of the eukaryotic ribosome. It is transcribed by RNA polymerase I as part of the 45S precursor that also contains 18S and 28S rRNA. RNAcentral also lists the same sequence under 1 other name. The record is from RNAcentral. Lineage: Eukaryota; Fungi; Ascomycota.
CUUUCAACAACGGAUCUCUUGGUUCUGGCAUCGAUGAAAGAACGCAGCAAAAAUGCGAUAAGUAAUGUGAAUUGCAGAAUUCAGUGAAUCAUCGAAUCUUUGAACGCACAUUGCGCCCGCCAGUAUUCUGGCGGGCAUGCCUGUUCGAGCGUCAUUUCAACCCUCAAGCUCAGCUUGGUGUUGGGACUCGCGGUAACCCGCGUUCCCC